AGAUGGGAUCUUAGCCAGGAGCAGUGGCCCACCCCUGUAAUCCCAGCACUUUGGGAGGCUGAGGAGGGCGGAUUGUUUGAGGCAGGAGUUCAAGACCAAUCUGGCCAACACGGCACAACUCUGUCUCAACUAAAACUUCAAAAAUUAGCCAGGGGCGCAGUGGCUCAUGCCUGUAACCCCAGACACUCGACAGACUGAGGCAUGAGAAUUGCUUGAACCAGGAGGCAGAGGUUGCAGUGAGCCGAGAUCACACCACGGCACUCCAGCCUGGGCAACAGACCAAGACUCUGUCAAAAAACAAAACAAAACAACAACCACAACAACAAAACAGUAAUAAAGAGAAAAACCUAAUGGACAGGAGCGAUGUCUCGUGCCUGUAAUCCCAGUUCUUUGGGAGGCCAAGAUGGGAGAAUUGCUUGAGGCCAGGAGUUCAAGACCAGCAUUGGCAACAUACAAACUGAAAGCUGCCUUAUACUGAAUGAGGAAGAGCACAAAUACUCGGCUGAAUGAGGUAUCGCAAAAGACUGCAUGCACUUUGGAGAAAGACUUAAGUUAUUGUCAUACAAUUUCCAUUCUUUUUAGCUUUUUCUUAAAUAUAUGACAAAUACCUACACAAA
This is a long non-coding RNA of Pan troglodytes (chimpanzee), 617 nucleotides long. RefSeq lists it as uncharacterized. The transcript is spliced from 2 exons. The record is from RefSeq and is a predicted model, not a curated record. Lineage: Eukaryota; Metazoa; Chordata; Mammalia; Primates; Hominidae.